CUGAACUUGGAGGGAACACCCUGAGUGCCUGUGACUUGCAUGUCCAUGAACCAGAGCAAAGAUGGGCUCGGUGCUGUUUGUGUGUCUCCUGCUCAGGACGUGGACGGCUGUGGUUGCUGUGGGUGGAGAGCGCAGAUCAGGAGAGCGCGGCUGGAAGGGCUCAGUGCCUGGUACAAUUUAUGCUGCAUUUAAUCAGCGGUGCCUGCGAGAUCGUCUUUGUUCCUUUACAAUACUGGCAAGAAAAUAUUUCAGAACUACAAUAGCCUACCAGUGAUAUUGACUUUGAAUUGAGUCUAGUUUCUCUGUGCAUUUGAAAUAACAAUGAGGUCAUUAACUGUGAGGUUGGUAUUGGGCUAAGCAAACUGACUAAGAAGUGGUUACAGAGAAUACAAAAACCGUCUCCUAAGCAAGAGAAUACUUCAGAUGUGUGAGGAAAAGAGUUUUGGCUUUCAAAGUGGCUGUAUAGACAAUCAUUCUUUUAAGACACUUGACUGAAAAGUUGUUUAUUUGAUCUCACAUGAAGAUGGAAAAUCUCUCAGCACAGAAUCCUGAGCCAUUAGGAGAUUUGGAUUAGGAAGGAAUCAUUUCUGUUCUGAGAGUAAGGGAAUACUGCAGCUGAGAUUUUUAUUCUACAAAGAUAUAUAAAGGGCUAGCAGCAGAACAUUGUGCUGCUGCAUUGGCAAGAUGACAAGAUUUGAAAGUGGCAGAUUUUAAAUAAAUAGGUGGAAACACAAUUACUCA
This 741-nucleotide long non-coding RNA is filed under the name Junco hyemalis (dark-eyed junco). RNAcentral's name for it is "lncRNA (ENSJHYG00000004721.1)". Lineage: Eukaryota; Metazoa; Chordata; Aves; Passeriformes; Passerellidae. The record is from RNAcentral.